UGAAAAUACUAGUUCCUAUACAAUCACUGAAGUUAAACAACAUUGAGACUUGUCAGUACUUAGAUGGGUGACUACUUGGGAAGACCAGCUGCUGUAAG
Molecule: non-coding RNA, 98 nt
Organism: Acanthosepion pharaonis
Lineage: Eukaryota; Metazoa; Mollusca; Cephalopoda; Sepiida; Sepiidae
Source: the annotation of a GenBank genome assembly